GAUGAACGCUGGCGGCGUGCUUAACACAUGCAAGUCGAACGAUAAAGCCCAGCUUUUUGGGUGUGUUCGUGUCGCACGGGUGUGUGACACGUGAGUAACCUCCCCUUUUCUCUUUGAUAUACCUUCGAGACUCUGUCUCUUACCGCAUAUGAGCGCUUCCGGCGCGUGGUGUGUUUGAGAGAUUUAGCGGUUUUGGAUGGACUCGCGGCGUAUCAGCUUGUUGGUGUGGUAGUGGCUCACCAAGGCGACGACGGGUAGCCGGCCUGAGAGGGUGACCGGCCACACUGGGACUGAGACACGGCCCAGACUCCUACGGGAGGCAGCAGUGGGGAAUAUUGCACAAUGGGCGAAAGCCUGAUGCAGCGACGCCGCGUGAGGGAUGACGGCCUUCGGGUUGUAAACCGCUUUCGGUAGGGAAGAAGCGAAAGUGACGGUAACGGCAGAAGAAGCACCGGCUAACUACGUG
RNAcentral lists this ribosomal RNA (466 nucleotides) under uncultured bacterium. RNAcentral's name for it is "partial 16S ribosomal RNA". It matches the Rfam family "Bacterial small subunit ribosomal RNA", at positions 28 to 507 of the family's 1533-position model. The record is from RNAcentral.